RNAcentral lists this ribosomal RNA (384 nucleotides) under uncultured bacterium. Its description in RNAcentral is "bacterial SSU rRNA". It matches the Rfam family "Bacterial small subunit ribosomal RNA", at positions 29 to 416 of the family's 1533-position model. The record is from RNAcentral.
AUUGAACGCUGGCGGAAUGCUUUACACAUGCAAGUCGAACGGCAGCACGGGGCAACCUGGUGGCGAGUGGCGAACGGGUGAGUAAUAUAUCGGAACGUGCCCAAUCGUGGGGGAUAACGUAGCGAAAGUUACGCUAAUACCGCAUACGAUCUACGGAUGAAAGCGGGGGAUCGCAAGACCUCGCGCGAAUGGAGCGGCCGAUAUCAGAUUAGGUAGUUGGUGGGGUAAAGGCUCACCAAGCCAACGAUCUGUAGCUGGUCUGAGAGGACGACCAGCCACACUGGAACUGAGACACGGUCCAGACUCCUACGGGAGGCAGCAGUGGGGAAUUUUGGACAAUGGGGGCAACCCUGAUCCAGCCAUGCCGCGUGCGGGAAGAAGGCC